RNAcentral lists this transfer RNA (73 nucleotides) under Chloroflexota bacterium. RNAcentral's name for it is "Chloroflexi bacterium tRNA-Ala". It matches the Rfam family "tRNA". Rfam says of the family: Transfer RNA (tRNA) molecules are approximately 80 nucleotides in length. Their secondary structure includes four short double-helical elements and three loops (D, anti-codon, and T loops). The record is from RNAcentral. RNAcentral also lists the same sequence under 1 other name. Lineage: Bacteria; Bacillati; Chloroflexota.
GGGCCUGUAGCUCAGUUGGGAGAGCGCGUCAAUCGCACUGACGAGGUCAGGAGUUCGAGUCUCCUCAGGUCCA